GAUGAACGCUGGCGGCGUGCCUAAUACAUGCAAGUCGAGCGAACGGAUGAGAAGCUUGCUUCUCUGAUGUUAGCGGCGGACGGGUGAGUAACACGUGGAUAACCUACCUAUAAGACUGGGAUAACUUCGGGAAACCGGAGCUAAUACCGGAUAAUAUUUUGAACCGCAUGGUUCAAAAGUGAAAGACGGUCUUGCUGUCACUUAUAGAUGGAUCCGCGCUGCAUUAGCUAGUUGGUAAGGUAACGGCUUACCAAGGCAACGAUGCAUAGCCGACCUGAGAGGGUGAUCGGCCACACUGGAACUGAGACACGGUCCAGACUCCUACGGGAGGCAGCAGUAGGGAAUCUUCCGCAAUGGGCGAAAGCCUGACGGAGCAACGCCGCGUGAGUGAUGAAGGUCUUCGGAUCGUAAAACUCUGUUAUUAGGGAAGAACAUAUGUGUAAGUAACUGUGCACAUCUUGACGGUACCUAAUCAGAAAGCCACGGCUAACUACGUGCCAGCAGCCGCGGUAAUACGUAGGUGGCAAGCGUUAUCCGGAAUUAUUGGGCGUAAAGCGCGCGUAGGCGGUUUUUUAAGUCUGAUGUGAAAGCCCACGGCUCAACCGUGGAGGGUCAUUGGAAACUGGAAAACUUGAGUGCAGAAGAGGAAAGUGGAAUUCCAUGUGUAGCGGUGAAGUGCGCAGAGAUAUGGAGGAACACCAGUGGCGAAGGCGACUUUCUGGUCUGUAACUGACGCUGAUGUGCGAAAGCGUGGGGAUCAAACAGG
RNAcentral lists this ribosomal RNA (766 nucleotides) under Staphylococcus aureus. Its description in RNAcentral is "bacterial SSU rRNA". It matches the Rfam family "Bacterial small subunit ribosomal RNA", at positions 28 to 776 of the family's 1533-position model. The record is from RNAcentral. Lineage: Bacteria; Bacillati; Bacillota; Bacilli; Caryophanales; Staphylococcaceae.